Molecule: ribosomal RNA, 253 nt
Filed under: uncultured bacterium
Lineage: Bacteria
Description: partial 16S ribosomal RNA
Rfam family: Bacterial small subunit ribosomal RNA
Source: RNAcentral
UACGGAGGGUGCGAGCGUUGUCCGGAAUCACUGGGCGUAAAGGGCGCGUAGGCGGCCGUGUAAGUCACUUGUGAAAUCCCGGGGCUCAACUCCGGGGCUGCAGGUGAGACUGCGUGGCUAGAGCACGGUAGAGGCGAGUGGAAUUCCCGGUGUAGCGGUGGAAUGCGUAGAGAUCAGCAGGAAUACCCGUGGCGAAGGCGGCCCCCUGGGCCGUUUCUGACGCUGAGGCGCGAAGGCUAGGGGAGCGAACGGG